GGAUGUAGUCCCAACAGUAUCCUGGCUCAGGUUCAGGGUGUAGUCCGGACAGGGUCCCGGCUCAGGUUCAGGAUGUAGUCCCGGCAGUGUCCCGGUUCAGGUUGAGGAUGUAGUCCUGGCAGUAUCCUGGCUCAGGUUCAGGAUGUAGUUCCGGCAGUGUCCCGGCUCAGGUUCAGGAUGUAGUCCGGACAGUAUCCUGGCUCAGGUUCAGGAUGUAGUCCCGGCAGUAUCCUGGCUCAGGUUCAGGAUGUAGUUCCGGCAGUGUCCCGGUUCAGGUUCAGGAUGUAGUCCGGACAGUAUCCUGGCUCAGGUUCAGGAUGUAGUCCCGGCAGUGUCCCGGUUCAGGUUCAGGAUGUAGUCCGGACAGUGUCCCGAUUCAGGUUCAGGAUGUAGUCCCGGCAGUGUCCCGGUUCAGGAUGUAGUCCGGACAGUGUCCCGAUUCAGGUUCAGGAUGUAGUCCCGGCAGUGUCCCG
Ictalurus punctatus (channel catfish) is the source of this 473-nucleotide long non-coding RNA. NCBI's taxonomy places the organism in Eukaryota, Metazoa, Chordata, Actinopteri, Siluriformes, Ictaluridae. The record is from Ensembl.